UCUUGGGCCUCUACAGCAACUACGCUGACAGCCUUCUUCUUGGGUGUCCCCUUCUUAACAGCUGUCUUCCCUCUCAGUUCACGUACACGGGCUUCCAGCUUAAACUGGGGUUCAGCAUCCCAU
This is a long non-coding RNA of Aquila chrysaetos chrysaetos, 123 nucleotides long. RefSeq lists it as uncharacterized. The record is from RefSeq and is a predicted model, not a curated record. The transcript is spliced from 3 exons. Lineage: Eukaryota; Metazoa; Chordata; Aves; Accipitriformes; Accipitridae.